This 1000-nucleotide ribosomal RNA is filed under the name uncultured organism. Its description in RNAcentral is "bacterial SSU rRNA". It matches the Rfam family "Bacterial small subunit ribosomal RNA", at positions 356 to 1376 of the family's 1533-position model. The record is from RNAcentral.
GGGGGAUAUUGCGCAAUGGGGGCAACCCUGACGCAGCAACGCCGCGUGAAGGAUGAAGGUUUUCGGAUUGUAAACUUCUUUUAUUAAGGACGAAAAAUGACGGUACUUAAUGAAUAAGCUCCGGCUAACUACGUGCCAGCAGCCGCGGUAAUACGUAGGGAGCAAGCGUUGUCCGGAUUUACUGGGUGUAAAGGGUGCGUAGGCGGCUUUGCAAGUCAGAUGUGAAAUCUAUGGGCUCAACCCAUAAACUGCAUUUGAAACUGUAGAGCUUGAGUGAAGUAGAGGCAGGCGGAAUUCCCCGUGUAGCGGUGAAAUGCGUAGAGAUGGGGAGGAACACCAGUGGCGAAGGCGGCCUGCUGGGCUUUAACUGACGCUGAGGCACAAAAGCGUGGGUAGCAAACAGGAUUAGAUACCCUGGUAGUCCACGCUGUAAACGAUGAUUACUAGGUGUGGGGGGUCUGACCCCUUCCGUGCCGGAGUUAACACAAUAAGUAAUCCACCUGGGGAGUACGGCCGCAAGGUUGAAACUCAAAGGAAUUGACGGGGGCCCGCACAAGCAGUGGAGUAUGUGGUUUAAUUCGAAGCAACGCGAAGAACCUUACCAGGUCUUGACAUCCAACUAACGAAGUAGAGAUACAUUAGGUGCCCUUCGGGGAAAGUUGAGACAGGUGGUGCAUGGUUGUCGUCAGCUCGUGUCGUGAGAUGUUGGGUUAAGUCCCGCAACGAGCGCAACCCUUGCUAUUAGUUGCUACGCAAGAGCACUCUAAUAGGACUGCCGUUGACAAAACGGAGGAAGGUGGGGACGACGUCAAAUCAUCAUGCCCCUUAUGACCUGGGCUACACACGUACUACAAUGGAUGUUAACAGAGGGAAGCAAGACAGCGAUGUGGAGCAAACCCCUAAAAACAUUCUCAGUUCAGAUUGCAGGCUGCAACCCGCCUGCAUGAAGAUGGAAUUGCUAGUAAUCGCGGAUCAGCAUGCCGCGGUGAAUACGUUCCCG